RNAcentral lists this long non-coding RNA (5084 nucleotides) under Sus scrofa (pig). RNAcentral's name for it is "lncRNA (ENSSSCG00060020650.1)". Lineage: Eukaryota; Metazoa; Chordata; Mammalia; Artiodactyla; Suidae. The record is from RNAcentral.
CUUAAUGUUGCUGUAGAAGUUCACAUUUAUUUGGCACGUUUUUUCAGAGUACAUUUUUAGUUCAAGAAUUACCUAACCAGCCCCUCAAGUUUGUCAGCUCUAAAAGUGUGUAUACUUUUAUUUUUCUCCACAUAAUGUCUUUGUCAGUUAUAAACCCGGAAGAAAACUGAGGGCUUAUCUAGCUCAAGUGAAGUGGAAUGAAUUGAUUUCAACUGAAACCAUCCAGGAAGUGGCAGAACCAAGUAUAAAACUUAGGUCUCUAGAUUCCAUUCAAAUGCUAUUUUCAUGACUCCGUGGCAUUCAUUAACUUACUGACUUAUUCACUCACUGAAUAAAUAUCUUUUCUUAAAUUUAAUUUUAUUGACAUGUAGUUGAUUUACAAUGAUAAAUAUCUUUUGAGUGCUACUGUGUGCCAGAGUUUGUGCCAGGCAUGGUAAUACACUAUUAAUGAGAAAAUAGUCCUUGCUCUCCAGGAAAUUGGAAGGGGGGCGGGGGAAAGACGAAUAGGUAAUUCUUUGAUAAAAGUAUGCACAGAAUACUUUGGGCAUAUGUAAAAAGGUAUUAUAAGCAAUUCUCAGGUGGGCAAGAAAAACUUCCAAGAGGAGGAGAUCUGAAUUCUAAAGAACAAAUAGAAACUAGUCAGGCAAAGGAAUGAGUCAGGAUAGGGAAUGGGCAUUCCAGGCUGAAUAAGCAGCAUGUGCAGGUGCACUGAAGUCCAAGUGCUUGGCUUAUUUCCAUGAACCGGAAAAUGGUGCUAUGUGAUUUGAGCUUGGCAUACAAGGAAGGGAAUGAUAAGAGGUAAGACUGAAGAUAUAAAGCAGAGUCCAGAUUACGUGGGCCAGGCUAAGGAAUAUAAAGUACACCCGGAAAGAAAUGGUAUGAGCAGUGGAGGAUGGCAGGGAACAACUGAUCAAAUUGAAUUCUGCAAUGAUUACUCUGACUUUUGUGAAUAAACCAGACUGAAGAGAAAUUAAACGUAGACAAAGGAAGACGAAUCAAAAGGUCGUUGCAUUAAUCCAAGGGUAUCACUUUAUAGAUCGAUCUGGUUACUGUAACGGGAUGCUCCAUAUCGGGGGUUUGCACAAGAUAGAAGUUUUUUUCCUCACUUCGACAGGGAAUAAGCAGUCCAGACCUGGUAGAACAGUUCCACGAUGUGGAUGAUCAGGGGUUGUCCUCAUCUACAUGUUCCAAGACGGUUCACAACUACAACAUAUGCCUUGCAGCCUGAGAAAAAGUUUUGUUUUAGAGCCACAUCUGUGGCAUAUGGAUUUUCCCAGACUAGGGGUGAAUCAGAGCUAUAACCUAUACCACAGCCACAGCAAUGCCACAUCUGAGCCAUGUUUGUGACCUACACCACAGCUCCUGGCAAUGCUGGAUCCUUAACCCUCUGAGUGAGGCCAGGGAUCAAACCCUCAUCCUCAUGGAUGUUAGUCGUUACCAUGAGGUUGGUUACCACUGAGCCAAAAUGGGAACUCCAGGAUACGUUUCCUCUUAAGUUUAUGAUAUGGAAGUUUCACAUCACUUCAGCUCAGAGUCCAUUAGCCAGAAUUUAGACACAUGACCAUUGCUUAUGAAAGAAUAGCUAGGAAACGUAGUUUUUAUUCUUUGAGGCCACAUGCCCUGUCAAAAACAACAUCUAUUACCAUAAAUGAAAGGAGAGAAUAACUUUUCUGGAGGACAAUUAGCCGUUUCUCUCAUGCUAAAUAAGAAAAGGACCUGAUACCCAAAGCCCUCUACAGAGUCAACACAAUCCCCAUCAAAAUACCAAUGGCAUUCUUUACAAAAACAGAAAAAGCAAACAAACCUAAAGUACGUAUGCAGCCAUAAAAGACUCCUAAUAGCCAAAGCAAUCAUAGGGGGAAAAAAAGCUAGAAGUAUCAUACGUCCUGAUUUUAAACCAUACAGCAAAGCUACAGUAAUAAAAACAGUAUGGUACUGACACAAAAAUAGACAUAUAGACCAAUGGAACAUAAUAGCAUAGAAUUAAACUCCUGUUUAUAUGGUCAACUAAUACUCUCCAAGAAAGCCAAGAACACACAAUGAUAAAUACAUGCAGAGCAAUGCAAUUGGACCCAUGCCUCACACCACUCACAAAAAUUAACUUGAAAUGGAUCAAAGUCUUUUUUUGUUUGUUUGUUUGUUUACCUUUUCUAGGGCUGAUUCCGCAGCAUAUGGAGGUUCCCAGGCCAGGGGUUUAGUCAGAGCUGUAGCUGCCAGCCAAAAGACAAAAGCCAAAAGCCACAGCAACUCGGUAUCUGAGCACAUCUGCAACCUACACCACAGCUCACUGCAAUGCUGGAUCCUUAGCCCACUGAGAAAGACCAGGGAUUGAACCUGAGACCUUAUGGUUCCUAGUCAGAUUCAUUAACCCCUGAGCCACAAUGGGAACUCCUGGAUCAAAUUCCUAACGAUAAGAUGUGAUACUAUAAAACUCCUAGAAGAAAACGUAGAGAAGAAAUUCCUUAAUAUUGAUCUUAGAAAUGAUUCUCUUGGAUAUGACACCAAAAUCACAACCACCAAAAGCAAAAAUUAACAAAUUGGCUCUGCAAUAAACUUAAAAGCUUUUGCACAGCAAAAGAAACAGUUAACAAAAUGAAAAGGCAACCUACAGAAUGAGGGAAAUUUUUACAAACCAUAUACCUGUUAGGAAGUUAAUAUCCAAAAUAUAUAAAGAACUCAUACAAUUCAAUACCAAAAAGACAAACAAUUCAAUUAAAAAAUGGACAGAAGAUCAAAAUAGACAUUUUCCCAAAGAAGUUGUCCAAAUGGCCAUCAGAUACAUGAAGAGGUGCUCAACAUCACUAAUUAUUAGGGAAAUGCAAAAUUAAAACCUGUUAGAUUUUUAUCUCACAUACAUUUGAAUGGUUAUCAUCGAGAAUAAGAAAUGGGAGUUCCUCUUGUGGCUCAGUGGGUUAAGAACCCGACUAGUAUCCCUGAGGAUCCAGGUUGGAUCCCUGGCCUCCCUCAGUGCCUUAAACGAUCUGGCAUUGUUGCAAGCUGUGGUGUAGGUUGUAGAUGUGGCUGGGAUCAGGCAUUGCUGUGGCUAUGACAUAGGCCAGCAGCCACAGCUUCGAUUUGACCCCUAGCCUGGGAACCUCCAUAUGUUGCAGGUGCAGCCCUAAAAAAAAAAGAAAAAAAAAUAAGGCAAGAGGUAACAAGUGCUGGCAGGGAUGUGGAGAAAAGGGAAAUUUGUGCAGCGUUGGUGGGAAUAUAAAGUGGUGCAGCCACUAUGGGAAAGAUUGUGGCAGUUCCUCAAAAAGCUAAAAAUAGAACUACUAGGAGUUCCUUUCCUGGCUCAGUGUAGACAAACCUGACUAGGUUUCAUGAGGAUGCAGGUUCGAUCCCUGGCCUCGAUCAGUGGGUUAAGGAUCCAGUGUUGCCAUGAGCUGUGGUGGAGGUCAUAGAGGUGCUUGGAUAUCCAUGUUGCUGUGGCUAUGGUGUAGGCUGGCAGCUACAGUUCCCAUUCGACCCCUAGCCUGGGAACUUCCAUAUGUCACAGGUUGGGCCCUAAAAAGCAAAAAAAUAAAAGUAAAUAGAUUAAAUAAAAAAAUUAUACGUGGAAUUUUAAAAAUUCAAACUUAGCUGUACACCUGAAACUAACACGACAUUGUUAAGUCAUCUAUAGGUCAAUAAAAUUUAUUUUAAAAGACUCAAUAUUUCAAAUAAAAUUAUAAAAACAUAGGGUAUUUGGUAUUCUGCAACCCAAAUAUGAGUCAGCAUCAUGUGGCUUCUCAGAGAAGAAGCUAUUUUCUUGUUUCCUUAUAACAAAUAGUUCCCUGCUCCUAACAUAUUUUUUCUCAUUACUUUAAAGAUGAAUUAUUUAGGAAAUAGGUUAGAAAUCAGUACAAAUAUCUUGGAGCUAUUUUGUAGACAUAUGAAAUUAUUCUAAAGAUUAUAGAAAGUUACAGCAAAAGGAAUUCUUUGAGAUUCUCCAGAGCAGUCUUGCUGCACAUUAAAAUCAUCUAGGGAAUUUUUUAAAUAGUAAUAGCGGGGUCCCACCCCCAGAGAUUCUGAUCUUAUCAUUCCAAAAUGUUACCUGAGCACCAGGAUUUUUUUCAGACCUCUCAGAUGUUUACCACUUUAUUUAAUUUUGUAACUUUUUUCUCAAAAUUUUAUUUAAAAAAAUUUUUAAUUGCAUGGAUAAUAAAAUGAGCUGCAUAUCCUUUACCUAGAUUCACUCAUAGUUGACAUUUGGCCAUAUUGGCUUUGAAUAAUUCACUUUUAAGAUUCAUUAUAGUAACUUUUAUACAUUUUAAUACAUUUAUAACAAUAAAAAUGAGUCACUGCAAAAAAAGAAAGAAAAGCCAAACUCGUAAAAACAGAAUAAAAUGGUGGCUACCAGCAGUUGGGCAGUAGGGGGUCAAGAUAGACAUUGUUUAAGAGUAUUUACUUAUACUCAGUAGCACAUAAGUCCUAGAGUUAUAAUGCAUGGUACAAUGAAUAUAGAUAGAAAUAUUAUAAUCAUCGGAGUUCCCGUCGUGGAGCAGUGGUUAACGAAUCUGACUGGGAACCAUGAGGUUGCGGGUUCCAUCCCUGGUUUUGCUCAUGGGUUAAGGAUCUGGCCCUUGCUGUGGGCUGUGGUGGAGGUUGCAGACGCAGCUCAGAUCCUGCGUUGCUAUGGCUCUGGCGUAGGCUGGCGGCUACAGCUCUGAUUAGACCCCUUAGCCUGGGAAGCUCCAUAUGCCACAGAUGUGGCCCUAGAAAAAGGCAAAAAGACAACAACAACAAAAAAAGAAAAGAAAUACUAUAUUAUAUUGCUAAGAUACUAGAACUUAAUUAUUCCAACUACUGAAAAAGAAAGAGCAAUUAUGUAAUGUGAUAGAGGUGUUAAUUAUCUACAAUGGCAGUCAAAUUAUAAUAUGUAAAUAUAGCAAAUUUACUUGUUGUACACCUUAAAUUCGCACAACAUGAUAUGUCAAAUAUGUUUCAAUUUAAAAAGAAAAAGAGGAGAGUUCCCAUCAUGGCUCAGUGGUAACAACCUGGACUCGUAUAUAUGAAGAUGCCGGCUCCAUCCCUGACCUCGAUCAGUGGGUUAAGGAUCCAGAUUGCAGAUGUGCCUCAGACCCUGCGUUGCUGUGCCUGUG